Molecule: ribosomal RNA, 388 nt
Filed under: unidentified bacterium sp. sbr-gs6
Lineage: Bacteria
Description: bacterial SSU rRNA
Rfam family: Bacterial small subunit ribosomal RNA
Source: RNAcentral
AUUGAACGCUGGCGGCAUGCCUAACACAUGCAAGUCGAACGGAGGGCUUCGGCCCCCAGUGGUGGACGGGUGAGUAACGCGUAGGGAUCUGCCCCGCAGUGGGGGACAACCUGGGGAAACUCAGGCUAAUACCGCAUACGCUCCAUGGAGGAAAGCGGGGGACCUUCGGGCCUCGCGCUGCGGGAUGAACCUACGUCCGAUUAGCUAGUUGGUGGGGUAAGGGCCCACCAAGGCGACGAUCGGUAGCUGGUCUGAGAGGACGGCCAGCCACACUGGGACUGAGACACGGCCCAGACUCCUACGGGAGGCAGCAGUGGGGAAUAUUGGACAAUGGGCGCAAGCUGAUCCAGCAAUGCCGCGUGGGUGAAGACGGCCUGCGGGUUGUAAA